GGGCCCUUAGCUCAGCUGGAUAGAGCGAUCCCCUCCUAAGGGAUAGGCCGGAAGUUCGAAUCUUCCAGGGCUCACCA
RNAcentral lists this transfer RNA (77 nucleotides) under Alteromonas macleodii. RNAcentral describes it as "tRNA-Arg". It matches the Rfam family "tRNA". Rfam says of the family: Transfer RNA (tRNA) molecules are approximately 80 nucleotides in length. Their secondary structure includes four short double-helical elements and three loops (D, anti-codon, and T loops). Further hydrogen bonds mediate the characteristic L-shaped molecular structure. tRNAs have two regions of fundamental functional importance: the anti-codon, which is responsible for specific mRNA codon recognition, and the 3' end, to which the tRNAs corresponding amino acid is attached (by aminoacyl-tRNA synthetases). tRNAs cope with the degeneracy of the genetic code in two manners: having more than one tRNA (with a specific anti-codon) for a particular amino acid; and 'wobble' base-pairing, i.e. permitting non-standard base-pairing at the 3rd anti-codon position. The record is from RNAcentral. Lineage: Bacteria; Pseudomonadati; Pseudomonadota; Gammaproteobacteria; Alteromonadales; Alteromonadaceae. RNAcentral also lists the same sequence under 1 other name.